Molecule: ribosomal RNA, 2164 nt
Filed under: Staphylococcus aureus SARM C4155
Lineage: Bacteria; Bacillati; Bacillota; Bacilli; Caryophanales; Staphylococcaceae
Also listed under: 1 other name
Description: bacterial LSU rRNA
Rfam family: Bacterial large subunit ribosomal RNA
Source: RNAcentral
AACACUGAAUGGAGGACCGAACCGACUUACGUUGAAAAGUGAGCGGAUGAACUGAGGGUAGCGGAGAAAUUCCAAUCGAACCUGGAGAUAGCUGGUUCUCUCCGAAAUAGCUUUAGGGCUAGCCUCAAGUGAUGAUUAUUGGAGGUAGAGCACUGUUUGGACGAGGGGCCCCUCUCGGGUUACCGAAUUCAGACAAACUCCGAAUGCCAAUUAAUUUAACUUGGGAGUCAGAACAUGGGUGAUAAGGUCCGUGUUCGAAAGGGAAACAGCCCAGACCACCAGCUAAGGUCCCAAAAUAUAUGUUAAGUGGAAAAGGAUGUGGCGUUGCCCAGACAACUAGGAUGUUGGCUUAGAAGCAGCCAUCAUUUAAAGAGUGCGUAAUAGCUCACUAGUCGAGUGACACUGCGCCGAAAAUGUACCGGGGCUAAACAUAUUACCGAAGCUGUGGAUUGUCCUUUGGACAAUGGUAGGAGAGCGUUCUAAGGGCGUUGAAGCAUGAUCGUAAGGACAUGUGGAGCGCUUAGAAGUGAGAAUGCCGGUGUGAGUAGCGAAAGACGGGUGAGAAUCCCGUCCACCGAUUGACUAAGGUUUCCAGAGGAAGGCUCGUCCGCUCUGGGUUAGUCGGGUCCUAAGCUGAGGCCGACAGGCGUAGGCGAUGGAUAACAGGUUGAUAUUCCUGUACCACCUAUAAUCGUUUUAAUCGAUGGGGGGACGCAGUAGGAUAGGCGAAGCGUGCGAUUGGAUUGCACGUCUAAGCAGUAAGGCUGAGUAUUAGGCAAAUCCGGUACUCAUUAAGGCUGAGCUGUGAUGGGGAGAAGACAUUGUGUCUUCGAGUCGUUGAUUUCACACUGCCGAGAAAAGCCUCUAGAUAGAAAAUAGGUGCCCGUACCGCAAACCGACACAGGUAGUCAAGAUGAGAAUUCUAAGGUGAGCGAGCGAACUCUCGUUAAGGAACUCGGCAAAAUGACCCCGUAACUUCGGGAGAAGGGGUGCUCUUUAGGGUUAACGCCCAGAAGAGCCGCAGUGAAUAGGCCCAAGCGACUGUUUAUCAAAAACACAGGUCUCUGCUAAACCGUAAGGUGAUGUAUAGGGGCUGACGCCUGCCCGGUGCUGGAAGGUUAAGAGGAGUGGUUAGCUUCUGCGAAGCUACGAAUCGAAGCCCCAGUAAACGGCGGCCGUAACUAUAACGGUCCUAAGGUAGCGAAAUUCCUUGUCGGGUAAGUUCCGACCCGCACGAAAGGCGUAACGAUUUGGGCACUGUCUCAACGAGAGACUCGGUGAAAUCAUAGUACCUGUGAAGAUGCAGGUUACCCGCGACAGGACGGAAAGACCCCGUGGAGCUUUACUGUAGCCUGAUAUUGAAAUUCGGCACAGCUUGUACAGGAUAGGUAGGAGCCUUUGAAACGUGAGCGCUAGCUUACGUGGAGGCGCUGGUGGGAUACUACCCUAGCUGUGUUGGCUUUCUAACCCGCACCACUUAUCGUGGUGGGAGACAGUGUCAGGCGGGCAGUUUGACUGGGGCGGUCGCCUCCUAAAAGGUAACGGAGGCGCUCAAAGGUUCCCUCAGAAUGGUUGGAAAUCAUUCAUAGAGUGUAAAGGCAUAAGGGAGCUUGACUGCGAGACCUACAAGUCGAGCAGGGUCGAAAGACGGACUUAGUGAUCCGGUGGUUCCGCAUGGAAGGGCCAUCGCUCAACGGAUAAAAGCUACCCCGGGGAUAACAGGCUUAUCUCCCCCAAGAGUUCACAUCGACGGGGAGGUUUGGCACCUCGAUGUCGGCUCAUCGCAUCCUGGGGCUGUAGUCGGUCCCAAGGGUUGGGCUGUUCGCCCAUUAAAGCGGUACGCGAGCUGGGUUCAGAACGUCGUGAGACAGUUCGGUCCCUAUCCGUCGUGGGCGUAGGAAAUUUGAGAGGAGCUGUCCUUAGUACGAGAGGACCGGGAUGGACAUACCUCUGGUGUACCAGUUGUCGUGCCAACGGCAUAGCUGGGUAGCUAUGUGUGGACGGGAUAAGUGCUGAAAGCAUCUAAGCAUGAAGCCCCCCUCAAGAUGAGAUUUCCCAACUUCGGUUAUAAGAUCCCUCAAAGAUGAUGAGGUUAAUAGGUUCGAGGUGGAAGCAUGGUGACAUGUGGAGCUGACGAAUACUAAUCGAUCGAAGACUUAAUCAA